Molecule: ribosomal RNA, 497 nt
Filed under: uncultured bacterium
Lineage: Bacteria
Description: partial 16S ribosomal RNA
Rfam family: Bacterial small subunit ribosomal RNA
Source: RNAcentral
GAUGAACGCUGGCGGCGUGCCUAAUACAUGCAAGUCGAGCGAACGGACGAGAAGCUCGCUCCCCUGAUGUUAGCGGCGGACGGGCGAGUAACACGUGGAUAACCUACUUAUAAGACUGGGAUAACUUCGGUAAACCGGUGCUAAUACUGGAUCAUAUUUUGAACCGCAUAGUUCAAAAGUGAAAGACGGUUUUGCUGUCACUUAUAGAUGGAUCCGCGCUGCAUUAGCUAGUUGGUAAGGUAACGGCUUACCAAGGCAACGAUGCAUAGCCGACCUGAGAGGGUGAUCGGCCACACUGGAACUGAGACACGGUCCAGACUCCUACGGGAGGCAGCAGUAGGGAAUCUUCCGCAAUGGGCGAAAGCCUGACGGAGCAACGCCGCGUGAGUGAUGAAGGUCUUCGGAUCGUAAAGCUCUGUUAUUAGGGAAGAACAUAUGUGUAAGUAACUGUGCACGUCUUGACGGUACCUAAACAGAAAGCCCCGGCUAACUACGUG